GCUCCCGUGGCCCAGUGGAAAGGCGUGUGGCUUCUAACCUCAAGAUCGUGGGUUCGAUCCCCACCGGGAGCU
Aspergillus tanneri is the source of this 72-nucleotide non-coding RNA. Lineage: Eukaryota; Fungi; Ascomycota; Eurotiomycetes; Eurotiales; Aspergillaceae. The record is from the annotation of a RefSeq genome assembly.